UACGGAGGAUCCAAGCGUUGUUCGGAUUUACUGGGCGUAAAGGGCGCGUAGGCGGCGUGGUAAGUCAGCUGUGAAAUCUCCGAGCUUAACUCGGAACGGUCAGCUGAUACUGCUGUGCUAGAGUGCAGAAAGGGCAAUCGGAAUUCUUGGUGUAGCGGUGAAAUGCGUAGGUAUCAAGAGGAACACCUGAGGCGAAGGCGGGUUGCUAGGCUGACACUGACGCUGACAGCGCGAAAGCUAGGGUAGCAAACGGG
RNAcentral lists this ribosomal RNA (254 nucleotides) under uncultured bacterium. Its description in RNAcentral is "partial 16S ribosomal RNA". It matches the Rfam family "Bacterial small subunit ribosomal RNA", at positions 524 to 776 of the family's 1533-position model. The record is from RNAcentral.